RNAcentral lists this ribosomal RNA (547 nucleotides) under uncultured bacterium. RNAcentral describes it as "bacterial SSU rRNA". It matches the Rfam family "Bacterial small subunit ribosomal RNA", at positions 358 to 916 of the family's 1533-position model. The record is from RNAcentral.
GGAAUAUUGGGCAAUGGAGGAAACUCUGACCCAGCGACGCCGCGUGCGGGAUGAAGGCCUUCGGGUUGUAAACCGCUUUCAGUAGGGAAGAAGCGAAAGUGACGGUACCUACAGAAGAAGCACCGGCUAACUAUGUGCCAGCAGCCGCGGUAAUACAUAGGGUGCAAGCGUUGUCCGGAAUUAUUGGGCGUAAAGAGCUCGUAGGUGGUUUGAUACGUCGGGUGUGAAAUUCAGGGGCUCAACCCCUGACCUGCAUUCGAUACGGUCAAGCUAGAGUUUGGUAGGGGAGACUGGAAUUCCUGGUGUAGCGGUGGAAUGCGCAGAUAUCAGGAGGAACACCGAUGGCGAAGGCAGGUCUCUGGGCCAAUACUGACACUGAGGAGCGAAAGCGUGGGGAGCGAACAGGAUUAGAUACCCUGGUAGUCCACGCCGUAAACGAUGGGCGCUAGUUGUGCGAACCUUCCACGGUUUGUGCGACGCAGCUAACGCAUUAAGCGCCCCGCCUGGGGAGUACGAUCGCAAGAUUAAAACUCAAAUGAAUUGACGG